CCAAAAUCAAUAAGAGAGAGCAUCUUUUAAUGAAAGAGCAGUUUGAGCAACAUACUUCAGAAAUGGGGUCCUGUUCAUCCUUUGCUUUACAAAUCGAUCUCCUUGGUUCCUUAAGUGAGGUCCAAUUGGUUGACAUUGUGGUUUGUCUUUGUGUGUAAACUUGCAGCUUCAGAAAAGAGAAGAUGAGCUACAAAGACAGCAAUAGGAAACACUCUGCAGCAGAGCAAGGAUGAUCUUCUUACUGAGCUGGAAGACUGAAAGACGAUUGUUCAAGAGCACAAGCAGCCUUCAGUGGACAUUCAGAGUGUGCCUACAACUGGAGAAGCUCACUGGCGUGACGCCUUUGUUGCUCAUAAAUCUGAUUUCACAGAACUUGAAAAGAAGUUGGAUGAUACCGAAAAGGAACUGGAGGAGGUGCAUGCUGAUCUUGUCAUGGUCAUGCAGGAACUUGAUUUGGCAAGAGCUGAGGUACAACUAUGUGUUUAAACAUCACGUGAAUGAGUGCUGCAACAACCAGUUUUGUUUUGUCUCCUUUGGGUAGUGC
RNAcentral lists this long non-coding RNA (544 nucleotides) under Phasianus colchicus (ring-necked pheasant). RNAcentral describes it as "lncRNA (ENSPCLG00000019219.1)". The record is from RNAcentral. Lineage: Eukaryota; Metazoa; Chordata; Aves; Galliformes; Phasianidae.